Molecule: ribosomal RNA, 499 nt
Filed under: uncultured bacterium
Lineage: Bacteria
Description: partial 16S ribosomal RNA
Rfam family: Bacterial small subunit ribosomal RNA
Source: RNAcentral
GACGAACGCUGGCGGCGUGCUUAACACAUGCAAGUCGAACGGGCCCGCUCUCUUUUUUGGGGGUGGGUUGAGUGGCGAACGGGUGAGUAUCACGUGAGUAACCUGCCCCCUGCUCCUGGAUAACUGCUUGAAAGGGCGGCUAAUACGGGGUGUGCCGGCUGGUCCGCAUGGGCCUGGUCGGGAUAGUUUCAUCUUCGGGUGUUUCGGUGGGGGAUGGGCUCGCGGCCUGUCAGCUUGUUGGGGGGGGGAUGGCCCACCAAGGCGGAGACGGGGGGCCGGCCUGAGAGGGUGGGCGGCCACACUGGGACUGAGACACGGCCCAGACUCCUGCGGGAGGCAGCAGUGGGGGGUAUUGCACAAUGGGCGGAAGCCUGAGGCAGCUACGUCGCGUGAUGGAGGGAGGCCUUCGGGUAGUGAACCUCUUUCUCCGGUGGUGAAGGCCCUGUCCGUUGCGGCGGGGUUGACGGUAGCCGGGUAUGAAGCGCCGGCUAACUACGUG